UAAAGGAGGAAGAGUAGGGAACUGGUGGGGGUUACGAUUUUAGAAUUGCAAGAUACAGCAUUGGUAACUGCAAAUGAAUAAAUGAGUCUGUGUGGGGGUUACGAUUUGUAUGAUAGUGAUAAAGAUAAAGUUUCUAGACUACUUUUUCUCCUUUCCCCUUCUUUUUCUCACCUGUAAAAUGCUAUAUAUUUAAAUAUUAGGCAUAACCAAUGGAUGAUAAGGCCACAUAUAUUCUAUACAUGAUGCAACCAUUCUCUUUCUAGCUUUCUCAUGCUUUAUAAAGCCCAACAGGUCUUCAUGAUCUCUUCACACAACCAAAAAACACAAGCUUUGUUUCUAAGAGAUGAAGCAGGUUUUGGGUCUGGUAAAGCUGUUGCAAAAGAGGGGGUUUAGCACUUUGGGUUGUCCUGCAUGUGCAAUUACAGGCUAUAGUACCAGGCCAUAGUAGUACUAUUUGUUUAUAUCUUUUGCCCCCUCAAAAGGGUUCAAGGGGUAAGGGCGGAGGUGACAGAAGAGAGUGAGCACACAUGGUAUUUCUUGCAUGCUGGGUUUCAUGCUUGAAGCUCUGUGUGCUCACGCUCUAUCUGUCAUCCCCCCACUCUCUCUCUCUUUCUCUCUCUCGGAUCUCUGUGCAGUCUGUGCCUGUAAAUUAAUUCUUGUCCAUGAUUUUGCAGUGUGUGCGUCUGCGUGUUUGAGUUAAUGGAGUACAGGACCGGCCGGGGAGGAACUGGGUUUUGGUUUCUGUAAUAUUUUUUGGCUGCACAACGUGGGAGGAGGCAGCCUAAGUUUUCCAGGCUCUCAAGAUGAUGCCUAGCCUGAGAACCACCAGAAAUUCGUAUACUAGGAACCUUUGUGUUCAUCCCAUAUCUAUAAUGAUUGGCCGGUUUCCUUGCCCUAAUUAUGUUUGGACGUCUGUGCAGCAGGUGCCUGCAAUUCUGCGACACGAACUUAUGACAGAUCAUAUAUCUAGUUCAUGUACUUGUUUGUGUUUGUACAGAAAGUGCUGCCACUUUUGUCAAUUCCUUGCUUUUUGUUCAGAACAGAAAGGGGGGAAGAAUCAGUUACAUACUAGCUUUUGUUUAGAUCGAGUCAUUCUUCUUGAUGACAGUUGAAUUCUUGGUCGUCCUGUGUACUAUUUUUGUACUGUCAUAAAAACAUAGGGUUCUGACUCGAUCGAUUUUAUUCUUUUCUUUUGUCCCAAUCAAGAUUAUAUUAUCUGAAUUCAGCUUCUAGGUCCUGUUCUUUUCCCCGACGAAAAAAAAAAAAAAACUCUGAGUGUUGCCCUUGUUGGGAUUUUCUGGUGGAUAUCUGUGAUUAAUUAACAUGUUCUUCCCGUUCUCGGGAGAAAGACGAAACACGUUCUUGUUUUGUUUUGGUUUUAUGCAACUUAAUUAUAUGUGAAGUAGUACUGAUCUUUUAAUCAGUCAGACAUAUACCUAAAUAUUGUGAAAAUUAAUGUUGAAACCAUUAAGAAUCAGUAGUACUACUUGAUUAUAUUGUACGGAUCUUAUACCUGCCUACUGAUGAUCUGAUUAUCCAAGAGUUUCUUUGUUUUCUUCCACUUCUGUCACCCCUUGAUCGAUCCACCUCCUCAUUUAUCUGUCCCUCUGUUAAGGAUAAUGCAUGUCAGCUGAUACCAACAGUCAAUCAUGAAGAUGAAGAUCAAAUUCUGGGAGUUCUUGAAGAUACAUCAUAGUUAGGGUUGUUUUCUCAGGAAAUUUAUUAUAUAUAUAGCUGAUAAGGUCGAUGAGAGUUUUGGUUAUCUUGUUAUGAAUAUUUCUUCUUGGUUAAUAUUAGUUUGUUUUGGAGUAAAAGAUCUUUCAGCAUGCACUGCAAAUU
Molecule: long non-coding RNA, 1839 nt
Organism: Carya illinoinensis
Lineage: Eukaryota; Viridiplantae; Streptophyta; Magnoliopsida; Fagales; Juglandaceae
Exons: 2
Source: RefSeq, a predicted model, not a curated record